This 253-nucleotide ribosomal RNA is filed under the name uncultured bacterium. RNAcentral describes it as "partial 16S ribosomal RNA". It matches the Rfam family "Bacterial small subunit ribosomal RNA", at positions 524 to 776 of the family's 1533-position model. The record is from RNAcentral.
UACGUAGGGGGCAAGCGUUGUCCGGAUUUAUUGGGCGUAAAGAGCGUGUAGGCGGCCAGGUAGGUCUGGUGUGAAAACUCGAGGCUUAACCUCGAGAUGUCAUCGGAAACCAUUUGGCUAGAGUCCGGAAGAGGAGAGUGGAAUUCCUGGUGUAGCGGUGAAAUGCGCAGAUAUCAGGAAGAACACCGAUGGCGAAGGCAGCCCCCUGGGAUAACACUGACGCUCAUGCACGAAAGCGUGGGGAGCAAACAGG